UACGGAGGGUGCAAGCGUUAUCCGGAUUUACUGGGUUUAAAGGGUGCGCAGGCGGUUAUGUAAGUCAGUGGUGAAAUCUCUGGGCUUAACCUGGAAAUUGCCGUUGAUACUAUAUAUCUUGAAUGCUGUGGAGGUAAGCGGAAUAUGUCAUGUAGCGGUGAAAUGCUUAGAGAUGACAUAGAACACCUAUUGCGAAGGCAGCUUACUACGCAGAUAUUGACGCUCAUGCACGAAAGCGUGGGGAUCAAACAGG
RNAcentral lists this ribosomal RNA (253 nucleotides) under uncultured bacterium. RNAcentral describes it as "partial 16S ribosomal RNA". It matches the Rfam family "Bacterial small subunit ribosomal RNA", at positions 524 to 776 of the family's 1533-position model. The record is from RNAcentral.